RNAcentral lists this ribosomal RNA (330 nucleotides) under Triticum aestivum (bread wheat). RNAcentral's name for it is "partial small subunit ribosomal RNA". Lineage: Eukaryota; Viridiplantae; Streptophyta; Magnoliopsida; Poales; Poaceae. The record is from RNAcentral.
AUGGGACUCAUGCUGCUCAAACCACAUCCAAAGAAGCAACACGCUCAACACGCUCUGGUCAUGCUCUUUGCCAAGGACCAAGGUAUGCUGUGUUUUAGGCAAUCCUUAUUUGUGCAAUUGCAGACAUGUGUUUGUAGGGAAACUCUCUUGUCUCCUAUGUUCAAUAAAUAUAUUCCAAGGUGUAUUGUUUCUCUUUUUCUUUUCAACAUUAGCUAUUGGUUCUACAGCAGUCAGCCGGUCACCACUGUAGCAAUAUUUGGUUCAAGUCCAUUUUUGGAUUCUUCUUCUGGAAUGGCUAUGAACAAGAAGACAUGCCAUAGUUACUAUUAG